Molecule: ribosomal RNA, 433 nt
Filed under: uncultured bacterium
Lineage: Bacteria
Description: partial 16S ribosomal RNA
Rfam family: Bacterial small subunit ribosomal RNA
Source: RNAcentral
AACGAACGCUGGCGGCAUGCCUAACACAUGCAAGUCGAACGAGACCUUCGGGUCUAGUGGCGCACGGGUGCGUAACGCGUGGUAACCUGCCCUUAGGUUCGGAAUAACUCCCCGAAAGGGGUGCUAAUACCGGAUAAUGUCUUCGGACCAAAGAUUUAUCGCCUUUGGAUGGGCCCGCGUUGGAUUAGCUAGUUGGUAGGGUAAAAGCCUACCAAGGCGACGAUCCAUAGCUGGUCUGAGAGGAUGAUCAGCCACACUGGGACUGAGACACGGCCCAGACUCCUACGGGAGGCAGCAGUAGGGAAUAUUGGACAAUGGGCGAAAGCGUGAUCCAGCAAUGCCGCGUGAGUGAUGAAGGCCUUAGGGUUGUAAAGCUCUUUUACCCGGGAUGAUAAUGACAGUACCGGGAGAAUAAGCUCCGGCUAACUACGUG